UGAGGAAUAUUGGUCAAUGGCCGGGAGGCUGAACCAGCCAAGUCGCGUGAAGGAUGAAGGAUCUAUGGUUUGUAAACUUCUUUUAUACGGGAAUAAAGUGUGGGACGUGUCCCAUUUUGUAUGUACCGUAUGAAUAAGCAUCGGCUAACUCCGUGCCAGCAGCCGCGGUAAUACGGAGGAUGCGAGCGUUAUCCGGAUUUAUUGGGUUUAAAGGGUGCGUAGGUGGUUGUUUAAGUCAGCGGUGAAAGUUUGUGGCUCAACCAUAAAAUUGCCGUUGAAACUGGAUGACUUGAGUAUAUUUGAGGUAGGCGGAAUGCGUGGUGUAGCGGUGAAAUGCAUAGAUAUCACGCAGAACUCCGAUUGCGAAGGCAGCUUACUAAACUAUAACUGACACUGAAGCACGAAAGCGUGGGGAUCAAACAGG
Molecule: ribosomal RNA, 424 nt
Filed under: uncultured bacterium
Lineage: Bacteria
Description: bacterial SSU rRNA
Rfam family: Bacterial small subunit ribosomal RNA
Source: RNAcentral